UGGGGAAUUUUGGACAAUGGGCGAAAGCCUGAUCCAGCAAUGCCGCGUGUGUGAAGAAGGCCUUCGGGUUGUAAAGCACUUUUGUCCGGAAAGAAAUCCUGAGGGCUAAUAUCCUUCGGGGAUGACGGUACCGGAAGAAUAAGCACCGGCUAACUACGUGCCAGCAGCCGCGGUAAUGCGUAGGGUGCGAGCGUUAAUCGGAAUUACUGGGCGUAAAGCGUGUGCAGGCGGUUUGUUAAGACCGAUGUGAAAUCCCCGGGCUCAACCUGGGAACUGCAUUGGUGACUGGCAAGCUAGAGUAUGGCAGAGGGGGGUAGAAUUCCACGUGUAGCAGUGAAAUGCGUAGAGAUGUGGAGGAAUACCGAUGGCGAAGGCAGCCCCCUGGGCCAAUACUGACGCUCAUGCACGAAAGCGUGGGGAGCAAACAGG
This 429-nucleotide ribosomal RNA is filed under the name uncultured Burkholderiaceae bacterium. RNAcentral describes it as "bacterial SSU rRNA". It matches the Rfam family "Bacterial small subunit ribosomal RNA", at positions 355 to 776 of the family's 1533-position model. The record is from RNAcentral. RNAcentral also lists the same sequence under 1 other name. Lineage: Bacteria; Pseudomonadati; Pseudomonadota; Betaproteobacteria; Burkholderiales; Burkholderiaceae.